Molecule: ribosomal RNA, 498 nt
Filed under: uncultured bacterium
Lineage: Bacteria
Description: partial 16S ribosomal RNA
Rfam family: Bacterial small subunit ribosomal RNA
Source: RNAcentral
AUUGAACGCUGGCGGCAUGCCUUACACAUGCAAGUCGAACGGUAACAGGUCUUCGGAUGCUGACGAGUGGCGAACGGGUGAGUAAUACAUCGGAACGUGCCUAGUAGUGGGGGAUAACUACUCGAAAGAGUGGCUAAUACCGCAUGAGAUCUACGGAUGAAAGCAGGGGAUCGCAAGACCUUGUGCUACUAGAGCGGCCGAUGGCAGAUUAGGUAGUUGGUGGGAUAAAAGCUUACCAAGCCGACGAUCUGUAGCUGGUCUGAGAGGACGAUCAGACACACUGGGACUGAGAGACGGCCCAGACUCCUACGGGAGGCAGCAGUGGGGAAUUUUGGACAAUGGGCGCAAGCCUGAUCCAGCAAUGCCGCGUGCAGGAUGAAGGCCUUCGGGUUGUAAGCUGCUUUUGUACGGAACGAAAAGCCCUGGGUUAAUACCCUGGGGUCAUGACGGUACCGUAAGAAUAAGCACCGGCUAACUACGUGCCAGCCGCCGCCGUAA